AGCAGCCAUCGGUUCUUGUGCUGGGUGUGUCCAAAGCCUUCAUCAUAAUUCCCUUUUCUUCUGAACAGUUGUUUGUAGUGAAAUAUACAGUAGAACUCCCCGUGUAAAGGUGUAUAAUUUUGCAUGCUACACUUUUUUCUUGCACUGCUUACAACAGAAGCAAGUUUUGUGAAAAAUGUAUUUGUCUGCUGUGAUUUUUUCCAUCGGAUAAACCGGCUUUGAACAGGCUGAACACAUCUCUUGACAAGCAGGUAGAAACUGAUGGAGAAAAAAAAUAGACCGAGCUUGGUGAAAAAGAAAUGUUUUUCUUUUCUUUUUUUUUUCUUUUUUUUUUU
Long non-coding RNA from Labrus mixtus (cuckoo wrasse), 335 nucleotides. RefSeq lists it as uncharacterized. The transcript has 2 exons. The record is from RefSeq and is a predicted model, not a curated record. NCBI's taxonomy places the organism in Eukaryota, Metazoa, Chordata, Actinopteri, Labriformes, Labridae.